RNAcentral lists this ribosomal RNA (923 nucleotides) under Limosilactobacillus reuteri. RNAcentral describes it as "bacterial SSU rRNA". It matches the Rfam family "Bacterial small subunit ribosomal RNA", at positions 518 to 1440 of the family's 1533-position model. The record is from RNAcentral. Lineage: Bacteria; Bacillati; Bacillota; Bacilli; Lactobacillales; Lactobacillaceae.
CGGUAAUACGUAGGUGGCAAGCGUUAUCCGGAUUUAUUGGGCGUAAAGCGAGCGCAGGCGGUUGCUUAGGUCUGAUGUGAAAGCCUUUCGGCUUAACCGAAGAAGUGCAUCGGAAACCGGGCGACUUGAGUGCAGAAGAGGACAGUGGAACUCCAUGUGUAGCGGUGGAAUGCGUAGAUAUAUGGAAGAACACCAGUGGCGAAGGCGGCUGUCUGGUCUGCAACUGACGCUGAGGCUCGAAAGCAUGGGUAGCGAACAGGAUUAGAUACCCUGGUAGUCCAUGCCGUAAACGAUGAGUGCUAGGUGUUGGAGGGUUUCCGCCCUUCAGUGCCGGAGCUAACGCAUUAAGCACUCCGCCUGGGGAGUACGACCGCAAGGUUGAAACUCAAAGGAAUUGACGGGGGCCCGCACAAGCGGUGGAGCAUGUGGUUUAAUUCGAAGCUACGCGAAGAACCUUACCAGGUCUUGACAUCUUGCGCUAACCUUAGAGAUAAGGCGUUCCCUUCGGGGACGCAAUGACAGGUGGUGCAUGGUCGUCGUCAGCUCGUGUCGUGAGAUGUUGGGUUAAGUCCCGCAACGAGCGCAACCCUUGUUACUAGUUGCCAGCAUUAAGUUGGGCACUCUAGUGAGACUGCCGGUGACAAACCGGAGGAAGGUGGGGACGACGUCAGAUCAUCAUGCCCCUUAUGACCUGGGCUACACACGUGCUACAAUGGACGGUACAACGAGUCGCAAGCUCGCGAGAGUAAGCUAAUCUCUUAAAGCCGUUCUCAGUUCGGACUGUAGGCUGCAACUCGCCUACACGAAGUCGGAAUCGCUAGUAAUCGCGGAUCAGCAUGCCGCGGUGAAUACGUUCCCGGGCCUUGUACACACCGCCCGUCACACCAUGGGAGUUUGUAACGCCCAAAGUCGGUGGCCUAACC